Molecule: small nucleolar RNA, 112 nt
Organism: Malassezia restricta
Lineage: Eukaryota; Fungi; Basidiomycota; Malasseziomycetes; Malasseziales; Malasseziaceae
Product: small nucleolar RNA Z13/snr52
Exons: 1
Source: RefSeq, a predicted model, not a curated record
UCUAUACCUAGGACGAAAGCAUACGGAUGUAAACGUGGAUCUACGAUCCUUGUUAUCCGAGAGCGCUUUGUAUUAUGUGGAUAAUUCCGCUGCCUUCCUGCUGAUUUCCCAC